Molecule: small nucleolar RNA, 70 nt
Organism: Megalops cyprinoides (Indo-Pacific tarpon)
Lineage: Eukaryota; Metazoa; Chordata; Actinopteri; Elopiformes; Megalopidae
Source: RefSeq, a predicted model, not a curated record
CUGGAUGUGAUGGAACCCCCAACGCCGUGAAUUUCAGUGAUGCUGGAUGUAUUCAUACUGUCUGAUCCAG